CUAGCCUUCUAAAUAGUUCGCCGAUCCCCGCAUGUGUCGGUGCUAACUUCUUAGAGGGACAAGUGGCGUUUAGCCACCACGAGAUUGAGCAAUAAACAGGUCUUGUGAUGCCCCUAAGAUGUCCCGGGGCCGCACCGCGCGCUACACUGAAGGAAUCAGCGUGGAUGCUUCCCUGGCCCGAAAGGGUUGGGAAACCCGUUGAAUCUCCUUCGUGAUAGGGAUUGGGGCUUGAAAUUCUUCCCCAUGAACGAGGAAUUCCCAGUAAGCGCGAGUCAUAAGCUCGCGUUGAUUACGUCCCUGCCCUUUGUACACACCGCCCGUCGCUACUACCGAUUGAACGGUUUAGUGAGGGCCUCGAAUUGGUCUCGGCCCGCCCUUCACCGGGCGGCGCCGCGGGUCGAGAAGACGCUCGAACUUGAUCGUUUAGAGGAAGUAAAAGUCGUAACAAGGUUUCCGUAGGUGAACCUGCGGAAGGAUCAUUAA
This 483-nucleotide ribosomal RNA is filed under the name Cyclophorus diplochilus. RNAcentral's name for it is "bacterial SSU rRNA". It matches the Rfam family "Eukaryotic small subunit ribosomal RNA", at positions 1343 to 1831 of the family's 1831-position model. The record is from RNAcentral. Lineage: Eukaryota; Metazoa; Mollusca; Gastropoda; Architaenioglossa; Cyclophoridae.